GGGCGGAUAGCUCAGUCGGUAGAGCGUUGGUUUUACACACCAAUGGUCGUCGGUUCGAACCCGGCUCCGCCCA
This 73-nucleotide transfer RNA is filed under the name Sandaracinaceae bacterium. RNAcentral describes it as "tRNA-Val". It matches the Rfam family "tRNA". Rfam says of the family: Transfer RNA (tRNA) molecules are approximately 80 nucleotides in length. Their secondary structure includes four short double-helical elements and three loops (D, anti-codon, and T loops). The record is from RNAcentral. Lineage: Bacteria; Pseudomonadati; Myxococcota; Polyangiales; Sandaracinaceae.